This 1171-nucleotide long non-coding RNA is filed under the name Anser cygnoides (Swan goose). RNAcentral describes it as "lncRNA (ENSACDG00005007994.1)". The record is from RNAcentral. Lineage: Eukaryota; Metazoa; Chordata; Aves; Anseriformes; Anatidae.
CCAGUUUGCACAUUUCUAAAGCAUAAGAUCUACUACUUAAGCAUGUGUUUGCUGGGUUUAUCCAAAAGAAUAAAUUGGAAGUGGAUUUAGAGUCUGAAUCUCUUCUUCCAUCUACAUUAUUUUCCAUCUCUCAGGGGUGUAAUUAUAAGGAAGCCGGUACGGCAGGUCAUCACAUUGUAUUUGUUUCUUGGGUGUAGAGGUUUCCAUGGGCACUGGAGAUAACCAGUACCGUCAUUUUGACAAAGGUUCACUCUGUACCUACAGUCCUGACUACUUUUCUGCUCUCAGCAGCCGUACAGAUCCCUACCAAUUCUUAUCUCCAAUAUAUUCCUUGAGGAGUUCAUCAGUCUCUUGAAAAACAGAUCAUGCCUGACCUUCUGUGAUUGUUCAGAUGUAUUUACAUAAUGUUGAAAUUCUGUACAUAGUUAUGACUCUGUGUCUAUAUUUACCAAGAUAACAGCUCUGUGGUAGUUACAUAGAUCUUAUCUCUAGGUUUUGUUUGUUUAUAUUCUCACUCCUCCAUGGUGGGCUAAAAUCUGAAAGAAUCAUAGUAAAGAUAUCACAAUAGACAGAAAUAAUUCUCUAUAGACAGAAAUAACUCUUUAUUCAAAUACAGACACUCCAGACAAAGCCAAGCUGAUCACAUAUUAAGUCCUAGACAGAAGUCUGUUGGUGUUUCACUGAUUUAUAUGUGCAUUGUACAUAUGCCAUGAGACUAAAGAUAAAGUUUCAUACAUUAUAUAUCACCCAAUGCCGUGAGGCUAAAGUAUUUUCUCUCCUCUCUCUCUCCCCUCUUAAAAAGUCCAACUUUGAUUUCAGUCUCUCUCAAAUUUUUUCUCACUAUUUCUAUUUAUCACUGAAACCUUUGGAAACAAUAUGGUUUAAAUCAUUAAUUCAUAGCCUUUUUAUUCUUUCUAAUCCAGAAAGUCUUCCCUCUAGCAUAGGUUGUCUCUCAUUGUUAGUCUGUGCUUUUUUUUUUUCUUUUUUUUUUUUUUUUUUUUUUUUUUUUUUUUUUUUUUUUUUUUUUUUUUGGUUUUGNNNNNNNNNNNNNNNNNNNNNNNNNUUUUUUUUUUUUUUUUUUCCUUUUUUUUUUUUUUUUUUUUUUUUUUUUUUUUUUUUUUUUUUUUUUCCAUCAGUGAGUUAUACUGUUAGGUAUGGAAGUGAUUUAUAA